This 121-nucleotide small nuclear RNA is filed under the name Lepisosteus oculatus (spotted gar). RNAcentral's name for it is "U2 spliceosomal RNA (ENSLOCG00000019765.1)". It matches the Rfam family "U2 spliceosomal RNA", at positions 38 to 162 of the family's 192-position model. Rfam says of the family: U2 is a small nuclear RNA (snRNA) component of the spliceosome (involved in pre-mRNA splicing). Complementary binding between U2 snRNA (in an area lying towards the 5' end but 3' to hairpin I) and the branchpoint sequence (BPS) of the intron results the bulging out of an unpaired adenosine, on the BPS, which initiates a nucleophilic attack at the intronic 5' splice site, thus starting the first of two transesterification reactions that mediate splicing. Lineage: Eukaryota; Metazoa; Chordata; Actinopteri; Semionotiformes; Lepisosteidae. The record is from RNAcentral.
AUCUGUUCUUAUCAGUUUAAUAUCCGAUACGUCCCCCAUGGGACUACAUAUUAAAUGGAUUUUUGGAACAGGGAGCUGGAUCAGGAGCUUGCUCAGUCCUCUCCACGCAUCGGCCCGGUAU